GCGAAGAAGAACCACAGAAGCAAAGCUAACUGCUGCGUUUCGGGAGUUUCAGGUGAACUUAUUUGAAGCCAUUGCCCAGCCAGGAAGGAGGCAGGUGAAGAUGUCCAGGCAGCAGAGAGAGCAGCAAGGUGCAGGAGAGAGACUUUCAGCCUGGGAAAGACAGGCAGCAAAAAAUAAUGAGACAGGACAGGAUCUGAAUUUAAAAAGGAUUUGCUACUGAAAAGUUUCCCCAUGGGCCAUGAGAAGGACAGUCUGUUGCUGCCUGGAACAAGAUUUCAUCACUCACUGUCGGUGCACAUCAACAAACAUCCCAUGAGCAUACAGGUCACUAGUUUCAGGGGCCAGUGGACAAAGGAGCAGCUGCUGCAGG
Seriola aureovittata is the source of this 370-nucleotide long non-coding RNA. RefSeq lists it as uncharacterized. The transcript is spliced from 3 exons. Lineage: Eukaryota; Metazoa; Chordata; Actinopteri; Carangiformes; Carangidae. The record is from RefSeq and is a predicted model, not a curated record.